RNAcentral lists this unclassified non-coding RNA (240 nucleotides) under soil metagenome. RNAcentral describes it as "partial contains 5.8S ribosomal RNA, internal transcribed spacer 2, and large subunit ribosomal RNA". The record is from RNAcentral.
AACCAUAGAAACCUGCGGAGUACCUGCGGAGGGAUCAUUACUGAAUUGAUUUUGGGGAUGUUGCUGGUCUCUUGAGGCAAUGGUGCACUCCCUCAAACAUUUCACAAUUUCCAUCUCACCCAUGUGCACAUCCUGUAGGUGGUCUCCCAACCCCCCCACCUUUCCUUGGGGGAGUGUGUGGGUCUGGUCUCCUAUGUAUUUCCUUGCCAACAUCACACGUUUUGACGGAAUGAAUCCUGU